CCUAAUCUAGUUGUACAUGUCAUCAUGAGUUAUCCGCUUAUAUUGUGUUCUUAUUAUUAUAGAUUAACCGCACAUAUGGCAUCCUCACUAUCACUUAGAGACAUACUAGAUGCUAACAAAUUGACCGAACUAAACUAUAUGGACUGAUUAAGAAAUUUGAGAAUUAUUCUCACUCAGAAGAAAGUCUUCUACAUAUUGGAUACUCCUGCACUUGAUAUGAUCAGGGA
This 227-nucleotide long non-coding RNA is filed under the name Elaeis guineensis (African oil palm). Its description in RNAcentral is "long non-coding RNA (EGUI_LNC079135)". The record is from RNAcentral. Lineage: Eukaryota; Viridiplantae; Streptophyta; Magnoliopsida; Arecales; Arecaceae.